Molecule: non-coding RNA, 87 nt
Organism: Syntrophobacteraceae bacterium CG2_30_61_12
Lineage: Bacteria; Pseudomonadati; Thermodesulfobacteriota; Syntrophobacteria; Syntrophobacterales; Syntrophobacteraceae
Source: Rfam
CUACUGGCAUCGAGAGGUGCCGGGAUGGAUUGCCAGAAGUCAGCAGAGGUCAUAGUGUGCGCUGAGCAGCGCGUUGUUCAGGAGGGU